GUUUGGUUUAGGUAAUCUGAGAGGCUAAGUAAUAUAAGAUGACUGCCACGUAUGAAAUGGGGUAUGUUUGAGGUAAUCUGAUUACCAAGUUUUGGUUAGGUAAUGUGAGAUUACUUUUUAAUAUUCCAAAAUUGCCCUCAACUAUCCUUCUUUUAUUCAUCAGACACAGACAAUACAUGAUGCUGGGAAAUGGAAAUUGAAUGGAAAAUUAAAUGGUGAUUGAUAAAACUAGAUUGCAUCUUAACAGUACGUACUUUUAUGCAUUCCAUUAUUAUUAUUGUUGACAGGAUAAUUGGGCAUCCGACCCGGAAUCACUGGCAGGACCCAAAAGCAAAA
Ipomoea triloba (trilobed morning glory) is the source of this 336-nucleotide long non-coding RNA. RefSeq lists it as uncharacterized. Lineage: Eukaryota; Viridiplantae; Streptophyta; Magnoliopsida; Solanales; Convolvulaceae. The record is from RefSeq and is a predicted model, not a curated record. The transcript has 2 exons.